UAACGGCCACCAAGCCUUCGAUGGAUAGGGGUUCUGAGAGGAAGGUCCCCCACAUUGGAACUGAGACACGGUCCAAACUCCUACGGGAGGCAGCAUG
This 97-nucleotide ribosomal RNA is filed under the name uncultured bacterium. RNAcentral's name for it is "partial 16S ribosomal RNA". It matches the Rfam family "Bacterial small subunit ribosomal RNA", at positions 258 to 353 of the family's 1533-position model. The record is from RNAcentral.